Molecule: ribosomal RNA, 255 nt
Filed under: uncultured bacterium
Lineage: Bacteria
Description: partial 16S ribosomal RNA
Rfam family: Bacterial small subunit ribosomal RNA
Source: RNAcentral
UACGUAGGGACCGAGCGUUGUCCGGAAUCAUUGGGCGUAAAGAGCGUGUAGGCGGCUUGUUAAGUCUUGCGUGAAAUCUCGGGGCUCAACCCCGAGCGGUCGUGAGAAACUGGCAGGCUAGAGUGCGGGAGAGGAGAGUGGAAUUCCCGGUGUAGCGGUGAAAUGCGCAGAUAUCGGGAAGAACACCCGUGGCGAAGGCGGCUACUCGUGGGACGGUACUGACGCUGAGACGCGAAAGCGUGGGGAGCGAACAGG